CUCUUUUGGCAUCUGGAGUAUGCCAUCUUUUCUCCAGUGGAUGACAUGGAUCCAGGCAAAAUGUAGAGUUGCAAAGAUGAGCAGACAACCACCUACCGGUACAAUAGCAUUGCUGGCAGCUGCUGAGCCAUUUCAUUCAACAGAAUCCCCUGACUGGAACCUUCGCUUCUGGAACUGGCCUUUCAUCACUUCCUCAGGACACAGAAAGUUACGUGUCUAAAUAAAAAAGAAGGAGAUCAAAGAAGAUGCUUAGAUACAUGCACAAGCCACAAGGAACCAGACUUUAAAGAUGGGAUUUCAUGACAUUUUGGUUGUGUAAGACACUUUUAUU
Molecule: long non-coding RNA, 331 nt
Organism: Sceloporus undulatus (fence lizard)
Lineage: Eukaryota; Metazoa; Chordata; Lepidosauria; Squamata; Phrynosomatidae
Exons: 4
Source: RefSeq, a predicted model, not a curated record